RNAcentral lists this ribosomal RNA (266 nucleotides) under uncultured bacterium. RNAcentral describes it as "partial 16S ribosomal RNA". It matches the Rfam family "Bacterial small subunit ribosomal RNA", at positions 87 to 354 of the family's 1533-position model. The record is from RNAcentral.
CUGUCUUAGUGGCGGACGGGUGAGUAACGCGUGGGCAACCUGCCCUGUACCGGGGGAUAACACUUAGAAAUAGGUGCUAAUACCGCAUAAUAGGGAAUACCGCAUGGUAAUCCUUUGAAAACUCCGGUGGUACAGGAUGGGCCCGCGUCUGAUUAGCCAGUUGGCGGGGUAACGGCCCACCAAAGCGACGAUCAGCAGCCGGCCUGAGAGGGUGGACGGCCACACUGGGACUGAGACACGGCCCAGACUCCUACGGGAGGCAGCAG